GCGGAUAUGGCGGAAUUGGCAGACGCGCACGGUUCAGGUCCGUGUGGGUAACACCAUGCAGGUUCAAGUCCUGUUAUCCGUACCA
RNAcentral lists this transfer RNA (85 nucleotides) under Sedimentibacter sp. Its description in RNAcentral is "tRNA-Leu". It matches the Rfam family "tRNA". From Rfam's summary of the family: Transfer RNA (tRNA) molecules are approximately 80 nucleotides in length. Their secondary structure includes four short double-helical elements and three loops (D, anti-codon, and T loops). Further hydrogen bonds mediate the characteristic L-shaped molecular structure. tRNAs have two regions of fundamental functional importance: the anti-codon, which is responsible for specific mRNA codon recognition, and the 3' end, to which the tRNAs corresponding amino acid is attached (by aminoacyl-tRNA synthetases). tRNAs cope with the degeneracy of the genetic code in two manners: having more than one tRNA (with a specific anti-codon) for a particular amino acid; and 'wobble' base-pairing, i.e. permitting non-standard base-pairing at the 3rd anti-codon position. Lineage: Bacteria; Bacillati; Bacillota; Tissierellia. The record is from RNAcentral.